This 449-nucleotide ribosomal RNA is filed under the name uncultured bacterium. RNAcentral describes it as "partial 16S ribosomal RNA". It matches the Rfam family "Bacterial small subunit ribosomal RNA", at positions 354 to 796 of the family's 1533-position model. The record is from RNAcentral.
GUCGAGAAUCUUUCACAAUGGGGGCAACCCUGAUGGAGCGACGCCGCGUGGAGGAUAAGGUCUUCGGAUUGUAAACUCCUGUCAUGCGUGAACAAGGUUGCUUGGUUAAUACCUGGGCAAAUUGAUGGUAACGCAAGAGGAAGAGACGGCUAACUCUGUGCCAGCAGCCGCGGUAAUACAGAGGUCUCAAGCGUUGUUCGGAAUUACUGGGCGUAAAGGGUGCGUAGGUGGCGUGGUAAGUCAGAUGGGAAAGCCCGGGGCUCAACCUCGGAACUGCAUGCGGUACUGCCAUGCUAGAGUACUGAAGAGGUGACUAGAAUUCUCGGUGUAGCAGUGAAAUGCGUAGAUAUCGAGAGGAAUACCAAAGGCGUAGGCAGGUCACUGGACAGUUACUGACACUGAGGCACGAAGGCCAGGGGAGCGAACGGGAUUAGAUACCCUGGUAGUCC